CAAUAGCGUAUAUUUAAGUUGUUGCAGUUAAAAAGCUCGUAGUUGGAUUUCGGAUGGGACUUGCCGGUCCGUCGUUUCGAUGUGCACUGGCCAGUCCUAUCUUGUUGUCGGGGACUAGCUCCUGGGCUUCACUGUCCGGGACUAGGAGCUGACGAGGUUACUUUGAGUAAAUUAGAGUGUUCAAAGCAAGCCUACACUCUGAAUACAUUAGCAUGGAAUAACACGAUAGGACUCUGGCUUAUCUUGUUGGUCUGUGAGACCAGAGUAAUGAUUAAGAGGGACAGUCGGGGGCAUUCGUAUUUCAUUGUCAGAGGUGAAAUUCUUGGAUUUAUGAAAGACGAACUUCUGCGAAAGCAUUUGUCAAGGAUGUUUUCAUUAA
Molecule: ribosomal RNA, 379 nt
Filed under: uncultured eukaryote
Lineage: Eukaryota
Description: partial 18S ribosomal RNA
Rfam family: Eukaryotic small subunit ribosomal RNA
Source: RNAcentral